Long non-coding RNA from Solea senegalensis (Senegalese sole), 744 nucleotides. RefSeq lists it as uncharacterized. The transcript is spliced from 2 exons. NCBI's taxonomy places the organism in Eukaryota, Metazoa, Chordata, Actinopteri, Pleuronectiformes, Soleidae. The record is from RefSeq and is a predicted model, not a curated record.
AUAACUUACACUGUCCAUAUCUGGCAGUUAUUCAACCGUUUAGGAAUUACCGUACUGAGAAGAUCUCGAAAACGGUCUAGGAGUUAUGGUAAUAAGAAAUAUACAUGUCAAAUCCUGUUGGAUGAUCACAGAAGGGUUAACUGAUCAAUAACUUGAAAAAAGUUGUCUAGCCCAGUUUUACAUUCAGGUAAUCGCUGUCAUUUCAUAAAUGCUUUUACUCAUUAAUGAUGAAGCCUGUAUCUCAUUUCUAUUCCAGGAGUAAUGGACAAAUGACAAACCCCUGGAGAGACAAGAGACCCGGUGGGACGUCACAAGGGAGGAGGACUACAUGACACAGCACUGAGACUCAGACGGAUCAAUAACUCCACAACCAGAGUGUGUGCAGUCACAUCCUGAUGGCUGCUGGAGCUCUGUCUUACAUGACAUGGCUGCCUGGAUGCACCAAACCAAUCUGGCGAAGAUCCCAGUGGUCUAAUUAAGACCGGGGCCUCAAUUCCAACUGCAUUAACGAGCUUCCGCCUUCAAUACAAUCAGCAGCAAAACAGAUAUCGCGAAGAUUUGUGCACUUUCUCUGUAAACUCCUCAGCUGGCUUCUUUCGCUAGAUUGGAUGAAAAGGAGAAUACUCGAGGACGAGGUGUGAUACUUCUCUGUACUCGAAAACUAAAAUCAAACAAACGCUUUCGUUAACUGAAAUAAGUUUUUUGUAACUGAAUUGUGUGUUUAUAAAACUAACUAAAAUUGUA